This 232-nucleotide long non-coding RNA is filed under the name Elaeis guineensis (African oil palm). RNAcentral's name for it is "long non-coding RNA (EGUI_LNC054544)". Lineage: Eukaryota; Viridiplantae; Streptophyta; Magnoliopsida; Arecales; Arecaceae. The record is from RNAcentral.
AUUGAUUGAUGUUAAAGAUUGUGAUGAAGGGAGUUCUACAAGAAAUGACCAAAUUGAUUGUACUUAUAAAGAUGUUGACUUGAGUUCUUCUGGUUUGUUUAAGUUGGAGUUAAUUCUUUUGCAAAGAAAGAUUGAUUUGGAGAUUGUAUAAAUAAUUGUAAGGUAAAUCAAAGGUUAGCUCUAAUUAAUUCUAGACAUGUUAGAUUCUUGAGGAAUGGUGAAGCUUAUGUAA